This 104-nucleotide transfer RNA is filed under the name Stachybotrys elegans. It matches the Rfam family "tRNA". From Rfam's summary of the family: Transfer RNA (tRNA) molecules are approximately 80 nucleotides in length. Their secondary structure includes four short double-helical elements and three loops (D, anti-codon, and T loops). Lineage: Eukaryota; Fungi; Ascomycota; Sordariomycetes; Hypocreales; Stachybotryaceae. The record is from Rfam by way of RNAcentral.
GGGCGCAUGGUUUAGUGGUAUAACACUCCCUUAGCAUGUUCCGGACAGCCGGAUCAUUCGUGAUAAUUUGGGAGAGGUCUGGGGUUCGAUUCCCCAUGUGUCCA